Molecule: ribosomal RNA, 492 nt
Filed under: uncultured bacterium
Lineage: Bacteria
Description: partial 16S ribosomal RNA
Rfam family: Bacterial small subunit ribosomal RNA
Source: RNAcentral
AUUGAACGCUGGCGGCAUGCUUUACACAUGCAAGUCGAACGAAAACAUGCGUUCGUUUGCUCACUAGUGUCGAACGGGGACGUAAUGCAUCGACACGUACCAAGAAGUUGUGGAUAACGCAUCGAAACCUGUACUAAGACCGCAUGUGGUCUGAGAAUUAAAACGGGGUGCCUAACAACAAUAAUUGGCUUCUCCCCUUUGUAGCGGCCGACGUCGGAUUAGCUAGUUGGUUAGGUAAAGGCUUACCAAGGCAACGAUCCGUAGCUGGCCUGAGAGGACGAUCAGCCACACUGGGACUGAGACACGGUCCAGACUCCUACGGGAGGCAGCAGUGGGGAAUCUUGCACAAUGGGCGAAAGCCUGAUCGAGCAACGCCGCGUGAGUGAUGAAGGUCUUCGGGUCGUAAACCGCUGUUGGUAGGAACGAAAAGGUGUCUGAGAAACUAUGCAGGUCAUGACGGUACCUGAACAAUAAGCCACGGCUAACUACGUG